RNAcentral lists this ribosomal RNA (487 nucleotides) under Babesia sp. LL-2011a. Its description in RNAcentral is "SSU rRNA". It matches the Rfam family "Eukaryotic small subunit ribosomal RNA", at positions 500 to 1039 of the family's 1831-position model. The record is from RNAcentral. Lineage: Eukaryota; Apicomplexa; Aconoidasida; Piroplasmida; Babesiidae.
GUCUUGUAAUUGGAAUGAUGGUGACCUAAACCCUCACCAGAGUAACAAUUGGAGGGCAAGUCUGGUGCCAGCAGCCGCGGUAAUUCCAGCUCCAAUAGCGUAUAUUAAACUUGUUGCAGUUAAAAAGCUCGUAGUUGAAUUUCUGCGUUAUCGAGUUAUUGACUCUUGUCUUUAAUCGAUUUCGCUUUUGGGAUUUAUCCCUUUUUACUUUGAGAAAAUUAGAGUGUUUCAAGCAGACUUUUGUCUUGAAUACUUCAGCAUGGAAUAAUAGAGUAGGACUUUGGUUCUAUUUUGUUGGUUUUUGAACCUUAGUAAUGGUUAAUAGGAACGGUUGGGGGCAUCGUAUUUAACUGUCAGAGGUGAAAUUCUUAGAUUGUUAAAGGCGAACUACUGCGAAAGCAUUUGCCAAGGACGUUUCCAUUAAUCAAGAACGAAAGUUAGGGGAUCGAAGACGAUCAGAUACCGUCGUAGUCCUAACCAUAAACUA